GGUGGCCUAGAGGUUAAAGCGUCCGCCUCGGAUGCGGGAGGUCGUGGGUUCGAUCCCCGGUCGAGUCA
Molecule: non-coding RNA, 68 nt
Organism: Potamilus streckersoni
Lineage: Eukaryota; Metazoa; Mollusca; Bivalvia; Unionida; Unionidae
Source: the annotation of a GenBank genome assembly